RNAcentral lists this ribosomal RNA (160 nucleotides) under Phalacroma rapa. RNAcentral describes it as "5.8S ribosomal RNA". The stretch from base 1 to 135 matches the Rfam family "5.8S ribosomal RNA", at positions 21 to 154 of the family's 154-position model. From Rfam's summary of the family: 5.8S ribosomal RNA (5.8S rRNA) is a component of the large subunit of the eukaryotic ribosome. It is transcribed by RNA polymerase I as part of the 45S precursor that also contains 18S and 28S rRNA. Functionally, it is thought that 5.8S rRNA may be involved in ribosome translocation. Lineage: Eukaryota; Dinophyceae; Dinophysales; Dinophysaceae. The record is from RNAcentral.
UCGGCUUGGACAACAUUGAAGGGCGCAGCGAAGUGUGAUAACCUUUGUGAAUUGCAGAAUUCCGUGAAUCAAUAGAGCAUUGAACGCGUGCUGUGCUGUUGGGAUAUACCUGACAGCAUGCCUGGUUUGGCGUCUUCUGGAGUGACUUUGGGGUGGCAUA